GGUUAUUCAGGGGAACGCUUUCGAUUUUUAUUGUGGGUAGCCUGCACAAAGAGCCGUGUUAUUGUAUUUAAAAGAACCAUCUGUAGCAGAAACAAUGGCAUCAAAUUAUCUUUGAAUACCCACUGAAAAAAACAUAAAGCUUUUUUUUUUAUUCUUCUUCUGUACGGUGGGGGGAUAGAGCAGUGUUAGGAUAACUGACUUUUUUGUUGUUCUCUGGGUGCAUUCUUCUCGCUCCCCCUCUCUCCCCCUCACCCUCUCUCUCUUCUCUCUCUCCCUCUCCCUCUCUCUCUCUCUCUCUCUUUUAAAAAAUCAGCCAUUUGGGGUUUUAAGCCAUAAACGAUUUUUCUUGUUGCAGGGGAUUGCAGUGGCAAAGCUAGGCUAGGUCUUGGAAGCUGGUGUAAGGCGAUGCGGGUGAAGGCAGGAGGCUGAUGGAAAGACUGGGGGGAAGAAAAGCCGAAAUGGAUUCACGGUGCCUUGGAUGAAGGACGAGAGGGGAACUGCAAGCUCCUUCAACUGGUUCUGUCCGGUGAGAAGUGAUCAAGCUUGGGCUGACAAGAGGCUCAGGGAACCCUCACGUUCUUUCGCUUUUUUACCUGCCAAUCAAACUGCUACAAGACAACACCCUGAUCUGGCAUGGACAUCGCGGGUCCAAGCCUGUAGCCCCAAAUCGGAUAAUCUCUGCAGCUGAUAACAAGCAAAAGAGAAGCCAGGCAACAGCCAUAUUAAAGAAGAAAACAAUCAACUCUGAGACGUCGCGGUAGCUGUCACCCAGUUCGGCUGUACUUUUUUAAACGCUCGCAUAUUGUUUGAUUACUAAUUCGAGUUAAUAUGAUCUUUAUGGCAACAUAACAGUGGAUAAUUGGCCUUUUUUUCUGAACAACAAUGUAAAUCACAAUCGCUUUAUUAUUUAAUAACGUCAAACGCUUCGUUGGAUUGGCCCCGACCGAGAAGACCUUUUCUUUCUAGACAGUGUUGUGGAGGAAGAACAAUGAAGAUCUAAUUGUGGAGAUUUCAUAAGUUGGCUCCCGUAAAUGAACAGCUUAGAUAUGGAAGUUCCAGCAGAUGUGGGUACUAUUAGCCUCUACAAGCUCUACCCCCAACCCCCAUAUACGCAGUCCAAACACUCCAUUGGAGGGCUUUUUUUUUUUUUUUUUUUUGGUGGUGGUGGUGGUGGUGGUCCGCAGAUCCUAGCAACCACCUAAAGUUUCCAGUAGUAAUUAGAGCUUUUAUCGGGCUUGCUCUUCAGCCCUUUAUAUUGCCGAUUUAGCGUUAAGGCAUUAAGUCCACACACCAAAUUAGCGCGACUCCCAAAUAACCACAACCACUUAUUCUCCCCUUCCCUCAUUUUGGUGAUUGGACACCAAGAGCACGGGCCUGGGACUUUUGGGGGGGGGGGGAGCGUUUACUUUGUUUUGAUUUGAUUUUUAAAACGGAUUCGCUAUCGCACUGUCUUGGAAUAUACUUGUUUCAGGCAGAGUUUUGCAAGGGACCUGAGCCAUUAUUUUGCAAACGCCUGGAAGAGCACACGAAACUCAGAGAACUACAAUGCAGACGACAACGCUUAGAAGGAAUGGGUCCCCGCUGCUCGAAUGAAAGAUUAAUUACAUUUGCCCCAAAAGCCCCAAUUCUAACGGUCUCUAUCGCGGCUUUUGCGGUCACUGGAGGACCGCUGUCUCUGGGGUCUGCAGACAUCGGAGUCCUUUGCAAAUGAAGAGCCCCCACCAUUUGGAAUUCGGGUCAAGGAGAAAGACUCUGAGCCUGCAGCAGUUUUUGUUUUUGCGUGUGCCCGCCUCUCCAUUUUAUUCAACUUCUUCUGCCUGUCGGGAAGCAGAACAAUCGCUCCCCACCCACCCCCCUCCGCCACGUUUCUAAGAUAAACAGGAGGUGCAAAAUGCUUUGCCUGCACACGCGCCCUCGUGGCCCAGUCUUCCUGCCACCCCCAGCGCACCGGGCCAUGCAGCUGUCUCCCAACCAGACCUGGGAGAAGACAUCCCCCCUUCUCUCUUCCCACCUGCAUUUAAAAACCAUCGCAUUGACUGCUCUAGAGUCAGGUUCACAGUUUCGGCCCUCCAUGCCACCUUCCAGUUUCUUCCCAGUCCACUCUCUCUCUUUCCCAGGACCUAAAAAGUGACGGGGAGAGAGUGAAGAAUUGGAGAAAGCAGCAGAUUUUCAAAACGUAUCCCCCCGCCCCCACCCCCCACCCCCAUCUUUUAAAGUAGUAUGUUGCCACAAGGAGUGGAUUUGGGAAACUUUCCCUAACAGGAGUUGGGCGCAGUGUUAUUCUUCUCCAUGGGUCUGCUGGCCUCCCCGCCCCCGCUGGACAAUGCGUGCUUUGAGACUCGGUGGCCUGCAGGCAGCGGGAGACGAGGGGACUGGGCAGCCUUCCUCCAAGGGGCCCGCAGCUGGGAGAGCGCCAGGCAGGGAGCAGAGACAGGGAGACGAGCCACGCAGGAAGGAAAACCAUGAAAGUGCCAUUUUUUCCCUCAGCCUACACAGAGGCAGGCUUUGAGGACCUAGGGGCAGGGCAGUUGGGGCGGGGGUUGGGGGGCGGCGUUGAGAGGUUUUGCGUGUUCUUUUGGCCCCUUUCCCCCAACUGAAACAUUUUAUUUUGGCACAUAAUUAUGCACCCUAGGUUGUCCAACCUCCUUGCCCUCAAUCUUGGUAACCUGGUCUUUGGUUAAUAAUAUCACAACUCGGGGCUUUAACGCUCAGACCCGCUCCAGGCCCCAGCCUCCGUAUUCUCGGAGCCCUCCACCACUGAUACCUCUCACGGAGUGCGGCGCCCCAGGAAAAGGCUCUUGGCCAGGGCCUCUGGGACAUUACUUUCUAGUUUGUUUUGUUUGUUGUUUUUCUCCCAAAGAGACCACCACCACCCUCAUCCUCUAUCAGGCAGCAUUUAAGAGAGGACCUCUGAGAUCGGCAGAAGCCCUCAGACGGUUGCCAUAUUGGUGGAAGCGUUUGUCUGAUGUUUUAAAACGUAUACCAAACGGGGCGUCAGGGCCACGUGCUGUGCCUUCGAAAAGCCGCCGCGGGCCCUGCCUUUCAGAGCUGCGGAAGCAGGGGCUGGCUUGGAGGGGGCGCUGAAACCACCGGCAGGCGUCAGGGGCCAGCGCUGAGCUGCAAAUCUGGCCGCAGCGCUGAGUGAAGCGAAUUAUCUGGAGCGUGUUUGAUCUGGGACUGCGUAGUCAGCUUCUGCUUUAUUUGUUUGUUUGUAAUCUCAUAUUUAGCAAGCCGGGACGGUGGCAGCAAGGGAGAAAGGACGGGAUGGAGGAGGGGGCUUCGCUGUAACCACACCCCUUCCUAAUGAGUUAAUUUCCAUACUUGCGCCUCCCGCAUCUAGCGCCCUCUUUUUUUUUUUUUUUUCUUCCUGACGCCACUGUGCUGUUGCGUCUUGCGCAGCGCAGACACCUCCACUCUGGAUUGAAACGAAAAAGCUCGCGGUAAGAGCAGAAAAUUGGUCUAUUGAUACAUUCGCUCCGAGUGUUGAUCUUGGCAUCACCGGUAGCCGGUUAAUUCCCCCACCCCGCCCCCGCCAGUGGGUCGCACGCGGAUUGCCGAGGGCUUGCGGGCACUCAGGCAGACGCAGACAGAAACCCACAUCGACUCCCGCCUUUCCCCGCCUCCAGCUGUCAGAGACCCUCAAGUCCCUUUCUUUUUUACCCAACUCCGGAUUAUUUUCCCCCUCAAGGUGAGGGCAGUGAGAGCAGUGAGGGCACAGUCCGCACAAAAAGGGAGAAAAAAAUCGCAAACGAACGAACCAAAAGUGAAAGUUUCAAACUAGAUACCAGACCUGAUGAAGAAAUAUGUAAUCUCGAACUCGAGGGAAGGUGCUGACCCGAGUGGGUACUUAAGAGAGGGAAGGAGGGAAACUGAGGUGGUGAGAUUAUGUCCACAGUACGGGUCGGUUAAAAGUUGUAGUAAAGAAGUUUUGGGAGGGCCCUCACUAGAAACUCAAGGCGGGUUUCAGCUGAUUUAACCUGGUUUCCUACACAUUUUUGCGGUGAUUCUGCUCUGGAAAUUGGCGAAAGAGACAGACCUUUACAAUUGCUCACCGCUCCCUGCCCCCACCAUCCUGCUUACUUCGCGAAGCGCAUUAGGAUGUGGGCUCUGGCUUGGGCUCCAAAAUAGCUUGCUUGUCAAUUGCGAGCUGUAGCAAUAUCAAAGUGAACUGUCCCAAGUAACUCUUGUCUAGAAGCUGGGAAGAAGCUUAAGCAGCUCGCUUUAAUGAUGAUUUGUAGCUCGGCGAGGGGCACGGACAGCAAACACCCCGCAGGUGUGUGCCGUAACACCAUCAUCCGGACUUGAAUGUAGAUUACUCUGGCGAUCGUUUGAUCGGCUCUUUGAAACCCUUUACAAUUGCCUGUGACGAACGGCCAGUCUCAGUUUUUCUCUGAAUAAUCCCUGAGGAUCCAACUUAGAAAUAAUGUUUCAUUCAAGAUAAGGCUCGUGGUUUAGGAGAUUGUGACCUGGCUUGCAUCAUUCUAAGACUUCUAUCAUCGGUUUUCAAAACCCAAGGAGGACCUCAUUCUCUGUGUGAUAGUUCCUCAUGCUUUGCCAGCCACUGGGUCUUUAAGGAAGCUUGCCAAGAGUUCCCAGCUGGGAAGGACAGUUCGAGUUCAUCAUAGACAGUGAGCUGGCACCACAGUUUAAGUGACUCACCAACCUGGUUGUCCACUUCAAAAUGUCAAGAACCGCACUAUCUAAUUGAAAGAACUGUGUUUUAGCAAAGUGUAAUUGGAUCGCAUGGCAAGAUCAUCUCAAACUAUGUCUCUGACCUUGCCUUUCAGUGGCUGUUUGGAGCACAAGAGGAGAAAGGAAAUGAUUCCUGAAUUACAUAUUGCUUUUAAAAAUUAAGAUUAAUUAGUGGCCGGGCGCGGUGGCUCAAGCCUGUAAUCCCAGCACUUUGGGAGGCCGAGACGGGCGGAUCAGGAGGUCAGGAGAUCGAGACCAUCCUGGCUAACACGGUGAAACCCCGUCUCUACUAAAAAACACAAAAAACUAGCCCGGCGAGGUGGCGGGCGCCUGUAGUCCCAGCCACUCGGGAGGCUGAGGCAGGAGAAUGGCGUAAACCCGGGAGGCGGAGCUUGCAGUGAGCUGAGAUCUGGCCACUGCACUCCAGCCUGGGUGACAGAGCAAGACUCCAUCUCAAAAAAAAAAAAAAAAACAAAUUAAGAUUAGUUAAUAAAUACUUGGUUUUAUGUUCAUUCCAUUGUAGGAACUUAAUGAUUAUUACAAAACAGUCAAAAUAGGUCAUAGCAAAAUGAACAUUUAAGAUUAGGUUAAAACAUUCCUCUGAAAUUUUAGUAUUCACUUUUGAAGCAUCAAUUACUAUAUUAUAUGAAAAAUGAUAUUUGAAUCAAAGACAUUGUUUUUUCAUAUAGCCACUCCUUUCUAAAAUGCAAAUCCACCCUCCCCUCACCCAUGCUUUAUUAUUUAUACAUACACACACCCACAGACACACACAGAGCCAGCACCCAAAUGGUAGAGGAGGUCCUUUCAAGACUUCUAGGACCUGGAUCAUGUAAGUAGUAGAUGAGAAAAUGAAGUAAGAGGUAUAGAGCAAUAACAAUAAAAGUCAAUGAUUUCAUUUUACAAAAAGUCAUUGUGUAGUACUCAGAUAUUUUUAAAAGCAAGUAUUAUUAUGACUCAAGUAUAUCAUACUUCUAAAUUAUUAUGAUUCUCAUCUAAUUUCAAGCCACAUAUAGGAGCCAUUUGAAAGCAUUUUGUAUUACAACCUAUCAACAAAAAUCAACUAAUAGUUUUAUAAUGUGCAUAAAUUUACCCCAUGGGGAAUUAAAAUUUUUAUAUGCAAGUAUUUCUAUUGUUGUGAGACUUUAGGACAAGACAACAUUUGGUAUUAACAUAGAAGAAUAUUCUAUGGCUUUUUUAGCUUUAAUGUUCAUUACUCUAAAAUAAAGUACACGUGGUAAUUUUUUCUUCCUGGUGUUCUCUUAUUAUACAUAGAGUAUUUUCGUUUGUUGUUUUUAAUGUAUACAUUAUUUUUAUUAAGUCAUUUGGUAAAAGAUAAAAUAUAUACUAAUAGACUCUUGCUUUUCUCCUAAUUUAAUUAUUUCAAGUCAAGCAAAAUUGGGCACUUUUCUUUCAGGAAAAAAAAAAUAUUGAGCAUGAUUUUGAGGCAAAAUGAUUAUUUACAGCAUCUUUUCUCUAAUAGACUAACAUUUAUGAUGAAUCUUAUUUCAAAGUUGAUUAUUCUCAAAGAAAAGUGGAGAUAUUAGAAUUUCCAAGUAAAUUGCAUUGUUUUAAAGAGUACUUUAAUGCAUUGUUCACAUUGUUGCCAGCUAUUGACCAAAAAAGAGAAGAAAAAAGAAACAAAAAAAAGUAGUAUCUGCUCCAAAUGUCAAGUUUUGCAGUUUGAAAGACUUGUAAAUUCUAAUUUUUUUUUUCUUUUUUGGAAAGCAGUAGUGAUUAAUACCAAAGGCAUAGACAAUUUAGGCCAUAACCUCCCUUCCCUUCCCCACUCCCCAUCUUUUUUUUUUUUUUUUUUUUUUUUACUUUAACCAUGAUAGGCAUCUCUGCAAGGUAGGUUUUAACAUAUUUUUUUCCUAAUUUUUUUCCCUCCAUUCAGUAAGAAGGAUAAGCUUUUAGAGUACCCAGUCACCGUGGUAACUGCCAAAAAAAUUCUCCUGAAGUUUGAAGAGGUCAGCUGGCAGGGUCAACAACCCUGGCCUCUCUCUGAGCUCGGUCUAGCAUGCCCCAGCCUGCGGUUGGAGUGUCAGGCCAGAUCUGACCCUGGGAGGUGGACCAUUCUGGCUCUGAUAUAAAUUUUUCGAGUCAGUUCAUGGCCUGGACUCUCCAGGUGGCCUCCAAAAUCGAUUUUGACCCCCUGACCCUGUCUCACGGAGGCAUAGCAUCCACCCUAAGUAAGGAUUUAGCCAGGAAUGACAGCUUUCCACUGAGUGUUAUUGGGGACAGUAUAAACAGUUUGGAAAGCAAGUAAGGAGGUGUGAGUGCUAGGAAUCAUUAAAAGCACAUUAAAAAGCAAUUUUUAAAAAUCUUUGUUAGAAAAAGUUUUAAAUACAUAUCUGUUACAGAAUUCCUGUGACUUGUAGAGUUUUCUAGUCAGUUUUGAAUAUAAAUAAGUCACAUAUCUUUAUCUCUUUGCAUACUUUGUUACAAAUAUGCAAAUAAGAUAGGCAUACUUGCUACAAAAUAGGUACAGCAGGAAUGUAAUAUGUUCAGAAAAGGCAAACUAGUUAUUAAAACACAUUAACAGGUAAGGAGUUUCUAAUAUUUUAAAUACUAAAAUUUUGCAUGUGUGUUUUGAAGUGUUUAAAAUGGAAAAAUAAAGAACCUUUAAAAAACCCAACAGUGUGGAAUAAAGAUAAACUUGUUGCACUCAAAGUACAUUUCUACUUUGUAAAGCAAUAAGCCAAUACACUCAUUUGGAUAAAAAUGAGAGAAAAAUUAUAAAUAUAGAGAGUUACAUCUCAUAGAGGUAAAGAGGAAUAAAACAAAAAAAUAGUGUCUCUGAAUAACUUUAUGUAUUUUCAACAGUUUAAGAUAUCAGAAACUUGGAAAAUAAAUAUGAUAUGUAUGAAUCA
Macaca mulatta (Rhesus monkey) is the source of this 7562-nucleotide non-coding RNA. The record is from RefSeq and is a predicted model, not a curated record. NCBI's taxonomy places the organism in Eukaryota, Metazoa, Chordata, Mammalia, Primates, Cercopithecidae.